UCUAUGUUCUUCCUCUGUAAGUGUCGAGUGAUGAAUUUGAGAGUGAGGUUGUGAAUUAGUUUGAGAGAACCAAUUGAUGGAGUGGUAGAGAUGGUGGAGGCUGUUGUUGAUGAAGAAGAAGAGAUGAGUCAGAGAACCAAGUCAGGGUUUUCAGUGAAUAGAAAUUGGAGUUUCGAAUUGGUGAUGAUUAAGGUGAAAUUAAAGGUGGGUUUGAAGGUUAUAACCUGAAGAUGAAGUCGGUUAUGUCAAUUUAGAGGAUUUGACUAUAAAGAAGAUCUCAAUUCGAGAAAGUUGUAGAGUUAGGGUUCUGUGAAGAAGAAGAAUAGAGGACUAGGGUUUUAGGUUCGAUUUUAGGCUUGCAUGGGAUUGAUACAUGAAUUGAGGAUUGGGUUUAGAUGAUUGAGGAACGGGAUGAAGUUAAACUGAACAUGGAGUUGUUCUGUGAAGUAUCUAAGAAUUAGGGUUUUCUCAGAAGGUUGUUUAGAAAUUCGAUUAGUGAUGAAUGAGACGAAAUUGAGAUGGGUUUAUGUUUAAUUGAACGAUAUGAAGUUGUUUUAGAGAAGAAUCAAAGAGUUAGGGUUUCACUGGAAUUUCGAUUAGAUAUGAAUAACAAGAGUUAAGGAGUGGAUUUGUCGAUUGAUGAACAUGGUGAAGUUAACUGGAUGUUUAUGAAGCUGAUGAAGAAUUAGGGUGUGGUUCUGCGAUUAAGAAGGCAGAAGAGCUAGAUGAAUGUUAAGUUGAUUACAGAUGGUAGUUUUGAGAUGAAUAGUGUUUGUAAUAGAUGAACUGAAUUGUUAUGGUUGAAUUAGACUGAGAUGAAGAUAUGUAAGUUGCACAUUAGUGAGGUUGGCAUCCAGAGAUGGUGGUUGUCUGUGUAUGUAUGCUUGCAGGGGUGGAAUGAUUGUUGCAGGACAUGAAUGUACCUUGGUUGUGUCUGAAGAUGUAGGUGGUGCAGAAUUGGUUGUAGAGAAUUGUAAAUGUUGAUCACCAGAUAUGUGUAUGUGUUGGUAUGAAAUAGCAUGGAUUUAUUCUUGAGAGAGUUGGGAAAAUGGAGGUGGUAUUUGGUGGAUAUAAUGGGAUCCAAGAAAUCUCAGUUACAACAUGGUGGAACUGAACUUGGUGGUAACGGUGUUUAACUGAAGUUCUACUGUUUUGAGUGAAGAGGUUAUAGAUGAUGAAAUUGUUGUGAUGAGUAGUUGCAGGGGAUGGAUUGCAGAUAUGUGCAACUGUAGAGGGGUUGUUUGUAAUGAAGAUGAUGUUGCUAUUGGUGAUUUAUGUUGAGUGUUGAAGUAUUGAACUGAGAUGCAAGUCUGAAGCUAGGAUUGUUACAGAAUUGAAGGUGGUAAUGAAGUUGAAUGCCAUAAAUUAGUUUGUAGUUGGACUGAACCUGCAGUAAUAGUGGUGUUGUCGUGUGUUUGAGAGUUGCAGGCUGGAAAGGUGUAAUUGAGAAUGAGUUUGGUAGGAUGAAGGAAGGUUAAAUUGUUGAAAAGCUUGCAACUACUGCAAUUGCAGUUAGUCAUUAACAACGAUCGAUUCAAAGGAUGAACCAGUGGAUCGUGGAUCUCAAGGUAGACGUGGCUUGUCAUCAAAAGAGUUUCAGAGACAGAUCAGAGUUGCGCAGCGAAAGCUUCAAGGAUUGAUUUCGUUAGAUUGUUAAUUUUUACUAUGUUUAUUAUAUUGCUUAUUGUAUUUGUAAACCGAAUGACUAUUGUAUAUGUAUCAUUUGAGAGGAGUUCUUGUAUGUAUAUAUUUCUGAGCGUGGCUA
Papaver somniferum (opium poppy) is the source of this 1765-nucleotide long non-coding RNA. RefSeq lists it as uncharacterized. The record is from RefSeq and is a predicted model, not a curated record. The transcript is spliced from 4 exons. NCBI's taxonomy places the organism in Eukaryota, Viridiplantae, Streptophyta, Magnoliopsida, Ranunculales, Papaveraceae.